UACGUAGGGUGCAAGCGUUGUCCGGAAUUAUUGGGCGUAAAGAGCUCGUAGGUGGCUCGGCAAGUCGGGUGUUAAACCCCCAGGCUCAACCUGGGGACGCCACUCGAUACUGCUGUGGCUAGAGUCCGGUAGGGGAGCGUGGAAUUCCUGGUGUAGCGGUGAAAUGCGCAGAUAUCAGGAGGAACACCAAUUGCGAAGGCAGCUCGCUGGGACGUAACUGACGCUGAGACGCGAAAGCGUGGGGAGCAAACAGG
This 254-nucleotide ribosomal RNA is filed under the name uncultured bacterium. Its description in RNAcentral is "partial 16S ribosomal RNA". It matches the Rfam family "Bacterial small subunit ribosomal RNA", at positions 524 to 776 of the family's 1533-position model. The record is from RNAcentral.